Mesocricetus auratus (golden hamster) is the source of this 101-nucleotide small nuclear RNA. The record is from Ensembl. NCBI's taxonomy places the organism in Eukaryota, Metazoa, Chordata, Mammalia, Rodentia, Cricetidae.
GUGCUCACUUUGGCAGCACAUAAAAUUGGAACUAUGCAGAGAAGAUUAGAUGGCCCCUGCACAAGGAUGACAUGCAAAUUCGUGAAGCGUUCAAGAAAACA